GUGCUGAAGACACACACACUCUCACUUACAGACGCAUACACACUAGCUAACAGACACACACAUUUACUGACAGGGACACACUCAGCGACAGACAUACAUACACACUCACACACUCACUUACAAAACAUACACUCUCAUUGACAAACACACACUCACUAACAGACAUCAAACAGACUCACUAAGACACACACACUCAGUAAGACACACACUCACACUCACUCUCACACUCACACUCACACUCACUCUCACACUCACUCUCACACUCACACUCACUCUCACACUCACUCUCACACUCACUCUCACACUCACACUCACUCUAACACUCACACUAACACUAACACUCUAACACUCACUCUAACACUAACACUCACUCUAACACUCACUCUAACACUAACACUAACACUAACACUCACACUAACACUCACACUCACUCUAACACUUUUUUUU
Non-coding RNA from Pelobates cultripes (western spadefoot toad), 447 nucleotides. The record is from the annotation of a GenBank genome assembly. Lineage: Eukaryota; Metazoa; Chordata; Amphibia; Anura; Pelobatidae.